This is a long non-coding RNA of Oncorhynchus mykiss (rainbow trout), 423 nucleotides long. RefSeq lists it as uncharacterized. The record is from RefSeq and is a predicted model, not a curated record. NCBI's taxonomy places the organism in Eukaryota, Metazoa, Chordata, Actinopteri, Salmoniformes, Salmonidae.
GAGACACCUGUCUCAAUCAAUGAGAGAAGAUUUGAAAUAGACAUGAUGGGAGCAUACAUAUUGUUGGAUUACUUCACAGAUCAAAACAUUUAUUUAUUUUAAAUAACGCAAACGCACCACCUGCAACAGGACCCAAAUCGAGAACAAACACAUUAUCACCAAGUUAAGGACUACAGUGGUCUGGCUGGUGUGUCUGGCUAACGCUGUGGAGCUGGUGGGGGUGAGCAGAGACAGCUGGGAUGACGUAUGGAGGCAGAAUGACCAUGAUCCCUUUCCUGAGACACACAUGCUCAGACUCAUGGAUGUCAUUGUUUGGAAAUGGUAGACUUUAUCUCAGUGAACUGUGAGCCAGUGAAGGCAAUGAUUGAUGACCUCAUUCAGAGACUGUUUGACGCCCUGCAGAUAUCCCUCAUGAUCUCCAAA